AACAUUUAAGAACAAUUACAUGGCAAGUCUAAACAUAUAGUUUUAUGUAAUGUAGUUUCCUCGAGGUUUAGCUCAACUUGUACGUUUACGAGUGUUUAUGAGUUACAGAUUGUGAUUUCCAGACUGACUAUGUCGUAAGGUUUUAAGGUUACAAGCUGGGCUAAUAUUGUUAUUAGAGUAGGUUUCCACCAGGCAGAAUACCGCGUAGUGUGCUAUCAGCGUCAUAAGGCAGGAAAAUAACAUUAAAG
Non-coding RNA from Pelobates cultripes (western spadefoot toad), 248 nucleotides. The record is from the annotation of a GenBank genome assembly. NCBI's taxonomy places the organism in Eukaryota, Metazoa, Chordata, Amphibia, Anura, Pelobatidae.